Molecule: ribosomal RNA, 207 nt
Filed under: uncultured bacterium
Lineage: Bacteria
Description: partial 16S ribosomal RNA
Rfam family: Bacterial small subunit ribosomal RNA
Source: RNAcentral
UGCGUAGGCGGCUCGUCAGGUGGGGUGUGAAAUCCCACGGCUCAACCGUGGAAUUGCGCUCCAAACCGACGAGCUUGAGGAGGACAGGGGUGAGCGGAACUGAUGGUGGAGCGGUGAAAUGCGUUGAUAUCAUCAGGAACACCGGUGGCGAAGGCGGCUCACUGGGUCCUCUCUGACGCUGAGGCACGAGAGCUAGGGUAGCGAACG